GCAGGCUCUUGAGGCUCCCUGAACGCGCCCGAUCUCGGAAGCUAAGCAGGGUUGGGCCUGGUUAGUACUUGGAUGGGAGACCGCCUGGGAAUACCAGGUGCUGUAGGCU
Molecule: ribosomal RNA, 109 nt
Filed under: Myotis davidii
Lineage: Eukaryota; Metazoa; Chordata; Mammalia; Chiroptera; Vespertilionidae
Source: RNAcentral